GGGGCCGUAGCUCAGUUGGGAGAGCGCCUGCUUUGCAAGCAGGAGGCCACCGGUUCGAUUCCGGUCGGCUCCACCA
RNAcentral lists this transfer RNA (76 nucleotides) under Rhodospirillales bacterium. Its description in RNAcentral is "tRNA-Ala". It matches the Rfam family "tRNA". From Rfam's summary of the family: Transfer RNA (tRNA) molecules are approximately 80 nucleotides in length. Their secondary structure includes four short double-helical elements and three loops (D, anti-codon, and T loops). The record is from RNAcentral. Lineage: Bacteria; Pseudomonadati; Pseudomonadota; Alphaproteobacteria; Rhodospirillales.